AGAACGAACGCUGGCGGCAGGCUUAACACAUGCAAGUCGAACGGUUGUAGCAAUACAGCAGUGGCAGACGGGUGAGUAACACGUGGGAACCUUCCUAGGGGUACGGAACAACUCAGGGAAACUUGAGCUAAUACCGUAUACGUCCGUGAGGAGAAAGUUUUAACGCCCCUAGACGGGCCCGCGUAGGAUUAGGUAGUUGGUGAGGUAACGGCUCACCAAGCCUACGAUCCUUAGCUGAUCUGAGAGGAUGAUCAGCCACACUGGGACUGAGACACGGCCCAGACUCCUACGGGAGGCAGCAGUGGGGAAUCUUGGACAAUGGGCGCAAGCCUGAUCCAGCCAUGCCGCGUGAGUGAAGAAGGCCCUUGGGUUGUAAAGCUCUUUUACCAGGGACGAUAAGUGACGGUACCUGGAGAAUAAGCCCCGGCAAACUUCGUGCCAGCAGCCGC
This 449-nucleotide ribosomal RNA is filed under the name uncultured soil bacterium. RNAcentral describes it as "bacterial SSU rRNA". It matches the Rfam family "Bacterial small subunit ribosomal RNA", at positions 26 to 518 of the family's 1533-position model. The record is from RNAcentral.